RNAcentral lists this ribosomal RNA (389 nucleotides) under Syndiniales sp. RNAcentral's name for it is "partial small subunit ribosomal RNA". It matches the Rfam family "Eukaryotic small subunit ribosomal RNA", at positions 582 to 975 of the family's 1831-position model. Lineage: Eukaryota; Dinophyceae; Syndiniales. The record is from RNAcentral.
AUUCCAGCUCCAAUAGCGUAUGUUAAAGUUGUUGCGGCUAAAAAGCUCGUAGUUGGAUUUCUGUUGAGGACAUCUGGUCCGCUCUACGAGCGUGUAUCUAGUUUGGCCUCGGCAUCCGCUCUGCAUACGUUUCUGCGCUUGAUUGCGUGGAGCGGAGGUAGGGCCUUUUACUUUGAGGAAAUUAGAGUGUUCACGGCAGGCAGUCGCCCUGAAUAUAUUAGCAUGGAAUAAUAACAUAGGAUCUUGGUUCUAUUUUGUUGGUUUCUAGGACUAAGAUAAUGAUUAAUAGGGACAAUUGGGGGCAUUCGUAUUGCGGUGUCAGAGGUGGAAUUCUUAGAUUACUGCACGACGAGCUACUGCGAAAGCAUUUGCCAAGGAUGUUUUCAUUA